UUCUAAAAAGAUGGAGACUGAGAGCUCUUUCUGGAUUCGGUGGAUGGUGGUGCAUGUCCGUCUUCGUGGAGUGAUUCGUCUGAUUAGUUCCGGUAACGAACGAGACUCCAGCCCAUUAAAUAGGUGCGUAAUUCUUUGCACCUUGCACCCUUGCUAGAGGGACAAGAGGAUCCUAGCCGCACGAAACAGAGAAAUAACAGGUCUCUAAUGCCCUUAGAU
Molecule: non-coding RNA, 219 nt
Organism: Ixodes scapularis (black-legged tick)
Lineage: Eukaryota; Metazoa; Arthropoda; Arachnida; Ixodida; Ixodidae
Source: Rfam